CAGCCGCCGCGGUAAAACGGAGGGUGCAAGCGUUAAUCGGAAUUACUGGGCGUAAAGCGUGCGUAGGCGGUUCGUUAAGUCUGUUGUGAAAGCCCCGGGCUCAACCUGGGAAUGGCAAUGGAUACUGGCGAGCUAGAGUGUGUCAGAGGAUGGUGGAAUUCCCGGUGUAGCGGUGAAAUGCGUAGAGAUCGGGAGGAACAUCAGUGGCGAAGGCGGCCAUCUGGGACAACACUGACGCUGAAGCACGAAAGCGUGGGGAGCAAACAGGAUUAGAUACCCGCGUAGUCCCUGUCUCUUAUAC
RNAcentral lists this ribosomal RNA (301 nucleotides) under uncultured bacterium. RNAcentral describes it as "partial 16S ribosomal RNA". It matches the Rfam family "Bacterial small subunit ribosomal RNA", at positions 509 to 807 of the family's 1533-position model. The record is from RNAcentral.